This 255-nucleotide long non-coding RNA is filed under the name Panax ginseng (ginseng). RNAcentral's name for it is "long non-coding RNA (PGIN_LNC007828)". The record is from RNAcentral. Lineage: Eukaryota; Viridiplantae; Streptophyta; Magnoliopsida; Apiales; Araliaceae.
GGAUAUUAACCUAUUGGAUGUAUAAAAUAUAAGUAUUAUACAUGUAUUAGUAUAUAUAUUUUGUACAUAGAGCUUGCAUAUAAAUAGAACCCUAUUAGCACAUUGCUUCAUUUGCUUGAAAAUUCUAAGUGUUAGUAGUUAAAGAGAGUUAGAGAGAAAUUGAGAUAAAAAGAAGAAACUGUUGGGAAUAUGCAUGUGAAUGUUAUUCCUUUAUUCGUAUAAUUUGAUGAUGAAGAUGAUGAAUGAAUAUGCAAC